CAGCAGCCACGGUAAAACGAAGGUCCCGAGCGUUGUUCGGAAUCACUGGGCGUAAAGGGAGCGUAGGCGGCGUGGUAAGCCAGAUGUGAAAUCCCGGGGCUCAACCCCGGAACUGCAUCCGAUACUGCCAUGCUAGAGGAUUGGAGAGGUAGCUGGAAUUCUUGGUGUAGCAGUGAAAUGCGUGGAGAUCAAGAGGAACACUCGUGGCGAAAGCGAGCUACUGGACAAUAACUGACGCUGAGGCUCGAAGGCCAGGGUAGCGAAAGGGAUUAGAUACCCCUGUAGUCCCUGUCUCUUAUAC
Molecule: ribosomal RNA, 301 nt
Filed under: uncultured bacterium
Lineage: Bacteria
Description: partial 16S ribosomal RNA
Rfam family: Bacterial small subunit ribosomal RNA
Source: RNAcentral